GUCUGUGUUCUGACACCAUCACUGAGUGCCAGAACCAGAAGGGACUGCAAAGGAAUCAGUUUUAUUUAAUCUUUUGAUCUCCGCAGUCCGAGGAGGGCCCGUUCAGAGCUGGGCUACAGGUUCAGAUAGUUACCUAAUGUGUAAUUCGACUCUGGUGUCAUCUAACUAAUGCCACAUGCAUUAUUUUUUGGCCAAUGAAAAAACAAAACAUUAAUACUUAGUGGAAAAUUAUGGUAUUUGCAUUUCUCUGCAUUAUGUGUGUCUACUGAGCUAAGAAGUAUUUUUAACACCUCUUAUACAAUUU
Non-coding RNA from Pelobates cultripes (western spadefoot toad), 304 nucleotides. The record is from the annotation of a GenBank genome assembly. NCBI's taxonomy places the organism in Eukaryota, Metazoa, Chordata, Amphibia, Anura, Pelobatidae.